CAAAUUCUAAUACCACUUCUGUUGUGUGUUUGAGAUGGACCAUAAACAAAAAAGAAAGUCUGGGAGGAGUUUAAACCUUUACUGCACAUACCACAAAAAGGCACCGCAAUGGAAAGCUCUGCUGAAUUUUGAGGAGCCAGAAAGCCUGGAAGCUUGUAGGCAGAGUUGUAGGCAGCUUCCCUUUUUACUGGGACUUGGAAAAUUCAUUAGGCCUGAAAAUUGCCAGAUCUACUCUGAAAGGAAGGGAGAAGGGUCAUGUAAAGUCUAGAGAAAAUUCAGACCACUUUUUUUUUGUUGUUUUAAUUUGCAGAUAGUGAAAAAUUGACCUGAGCUUCCAAUUGUAAAAUUUUGUCUAAUAAUAAAGCUAGGUGGGGCUGACCCAGGCAGGGAGAUACAGUGAUGAAGUGUUGCGCCUGGGCAGUUUCCACUGGCAGAGAUCUUCUGGAAGCCAGACUGGAUUUUAAAGCUCCCCACAGGAACAAAGCUGGCCACCAGCACUCAUUCUGUUCUGCUUCUUCAUCAGCACUAAUCCAUACAUGCAGCAGCACCCCUGUUAUUUAUAGGUGACCUAUAUUCAAAAACUCAUUACGAUUGUGCACCAGAAAGACACAGAAGGCAACCUGCAGGACAGCUAUGACAGGGGCAUGUGCAGUGUGUGUAUCUAAAGGGAGAGUGCGGAGCAGGUUGAUAAUGAGCUUUGAAAGCCAGGAUUGGCUGGCCAUUGAUUAACAAAAUGAGAAACUGAGGUAGUAUGCAACUAGAAGGAUUACUGUAAGCUCACAACUUCUCCCCAACUCCUGAGAGAGUGAUUUGUUCAACUGACCUUUUGUGGAGCUGGGCUGGAAAGAUAUAAAUUAGCUCAUAAUACAAGAAUAUUUUUGUUUAAUAAAACUGCCCCCAAAUUUGUUUGGAGUUCCCAGGCUUCUCAGGAGAAAAAGAAAGAGAGCUAUUAUGUUCUACAAAAACAAUGACAUUUUAGCCUCUGUAUUUACUCUUCCCCAUAGAAAAUCUGCAGUAGGCCAAGGUAUGUAUGACAGCAAUGCUUGGCACUUCUACUGUGCAUUUCACAUGCCCUUCCAAACAACCAAAUGCCUGGAGAAGCACUUCAUUCACCAGUUACUGCUCCAAGCUCCCCUGCAGUAAAACAGGUUACCUAAGAGCCUUGCUGAUAAAUAAUCCCUGUACCCUGAAGAAGAAUGGAUUAAACAUAGAUGGAGAGGAACAGAAGUCCAUUCAAAGGCCUGGAUGUUAAAACCUUAAGGGAGAGCUGUGAGACGUUUGAAACCAUCCCUCCUUUCUGCUCACCCCAGCUCCUCCAAGCCAGAGCACAUGCAGGUUUUGGGGCAGACGCAGUCCACAAGGCACCAGGCAGAAAUCAGAUCAUGUCUUCCUCAUCACCCUCAGUUUAGACUCUAUGUGGUGUUUCAGAGUCCCUGCUUCUGGUCCCCAGCUUGUUUUGCAGUUCCUGAGAAUCAGAUAGUUACAGUCUGGCUGGAAAGGAUAAAAAAGAAGGGGCCAUUUUAUACCCAGGUGAGUAUAAACUGGGUGGUCCUCAACCAAGACAUGGAGUGCCCCAUUUCAACUGGCUUGCUAGAUCAGAGGUGGCAAAGAGGAGACAGCGAGAUGCCAUAUAGAGAUUUGUUUCAGUAGCUUUGUGAUGGGGGUAUCCAUGUUGCAUUUUGAGCAGAGAACCCGCGCCACACAGAGAUAGGCUUCAGGUGGGCUUUGGGCCCUGUUGCGGCCUGGCGUCACCAUAGCAACCGGCAGCCUGAGGUGGGCCUGCGGCCUGCCCCCUCCUUCCAGGCUCUGCCUUGUCCUGUGAAGAUUUGACUUCUUUUAUCUCCUUUGUCUGAGUUUUUGGGUUGUUCCUGCAUUUCAGCAUUUGGCCCUCACCCUGUGAAGUAGAUGUUGCUGAUGCUUUCCUCUUCUAUGCCAUCCCCUUUCCUGGCAUGCAAGCCCUGAGCUGCUAACAGGGAAUGGCUACUUCAGGAAACACGAGAAAGCUGAGGAGAAACAGCCUGCUGAUAGGUCACUAAAAUAUGCCUUUUCCUUUGAAAACCUCCCGGUGUGGUUUGCUUCAGUACCAAGAAAUUUAAUUGUUGGAUGUAUUUAAGAAAUAUUAAACUCUGCUUUUUUUUUUCUUUUUCAUGUUCAAAGGGAAAGAGCCUGUAUCGGUACAAUACAUUUUUAAAAGCCUUUUAAAAGUUCUCUUUGGCAACACCUCUUUGAAGUCUAAUCCAAUUUGCAAUAUAGUUCUUCCAAGUUAAUCCCAAUUUUUUCAAGACAACCAGAAAUGUUACACAAAGGCUUUCCAAAGAAUAACACGAGUGCAAGCCGCAAUGUAGUUAAAUCUCCUGAUAAGGGGACAAUUCUGCUGUUAUUUACAACAGCAUACAUCCACAGUUGCUCCGCCAGUGGGCUGACCGUGUAGGAUCUGCCCCAUGGAAUCCGAUUUACUUCUCACUUUUGCUGGGCUAAUUCUGUAUUUACAACUCAAACUAAGAUUUAGAUUUAAAAUGUUAAUUUUUAAUAAGGCAGAAGUUUUCUUUAAGGAGGCUCCAGGAAAAGGUUCUGGUUUGUGUUCAUUGCAGAGCUUUAUAGCUUUCCUCAGGAUCUCUCUAGACCUUCCAUAUGCCUUUUCUAAAUACCUUUCUACACAGUCUCAGCAGUACUAUGACUGACCUCCAAAAGACUUAUUUUUUUGGUACAAAGGAAGACACCAAUUAAAUAAUGGUGAAAAGAUCUCUAAGUGGAAAGACAAAUACAUCAGAGGAAGUGAACUCCUGGGUUGUACUACCAAUCCUCAAACAUCAUAAAGAGAAAUCUGUCUAAGACUGGCAGACAGAAUCCCGUGGCUCAGAACCAAAGCUGGAAAAAGCAAAACAGGACUGAAGAGGUAAGAUUUUAAAUGCUGUAGAAGUUAUUAUUGGAACAGUUUCCUAAGGGACAUGUUUGAGUCUCCAUCACUUGACUCUGAUUUUAGUACACAUGACAAUUUUUCUCACACAACCCCCUUCUCCAACUAAUCUUCCAGAACUCCAGUUCUCUGUCCCACAGGGAUAACAUCUCAUCAUCUGCCUCAGCUCCUCAGAUACCAAUACUCUUUUUGUUCAGACGAACUGAAAGAUGAACAUAACUACACCGCACAGGGAUUUUUUUCUCAACCUGCGUUGGGCUUAAUGUUGACUGCUUCUACAAGGGCUUUUCUGCCCCCAAACUUCUCAGUUGUUUUGCAGGAAUAUUUGGUUAAAUGAAAAAAACAUUUCCUCUCCUCAAAGACAGUUUCUCUUCAACAAAUGUCUUUUGAAAAAUACAUGCAAUGAUUAAGUCAUGUGUUGUUGAGUUUGGUGCAGAAAUAGUUGCCUUGAGAGAAAAGAAGGAUGGCCCAAUUAUUGCUACGUUCCUUAGGGCCUUCAAAAUGGGCAGCUCUUCACUCUGUGUUGGUACUUGUCUGCCAGACUGAAGGUCAUUCUAGUAAAGUUUCUCCCAGAGCACCUUAAGCACUGAACGACAUUACUGCUUCUCUGUCAUCGGAAAAACAUCUAGGCAAGAAGGGUGUCUGGUCCAAGGUGUUUCGCAUUUGGUCGUUGCACUUUACAUUCCUGCAUGGUGGAUGCGGUAGUAUGUAAUACUCGUGAGCCAGCUAUUCUGAGCCAUAAUGGCUUUCCAGGACUUUCAUUAUGUGACCCAGGUGUUCUACAUUACAACUCAUUUUUCAUUCACACUGCAGUAAGAAGACAGGGCAGUCCUGCUUAUUAUUGUCUUUUUUUUAACAAAUCAUCUCUAUUUGCUGUACACUGAUGGCUCAUUUGCACCACGAAUGGUAUGAUAUGUCAGGUAAUAUGACCCAGCAGAUUUACUGCUCAAUUGGCAACAUUAGAUCACUCUGAGACAUCAGCCAAGAUCCUAUGACAUCCAGAAUAGAUUAGGUAGAUUGUUAUUGCAGAUACAAUAUACUUCUACAGUGUUUUUCUCUGGGUUCAUUUGGAUAUGGUUAAGUGUGUCUGGCUAUGUAACAUAAAUCUAUUUCCAGCUGCAUUUAUUUAGCUUGCAGCAUGUAUGUGCUGUUUGUGGAUGCAUUAUACCCGUGUGUACACAAGUGGCUGUGUCUUCAUAUAUUUGCAUAUAUGUAAAAGUAUAUAUCUCUUUAUCAUUGAAAUAUUUUCCUUUUCAAGAAUCUCUCACAUGCCAUAGCAUCUAUUACAUUUUACUGAUUUAAAAGACGUAUCUACUGAAAAUAGCUGAUUUUCAUUCACUUUCUUCCCUGGAAGAUAUGCUGUUGGUCUACAGUGGUAAGAAAAAGUAGUAAAAGUGACUAUGCAACUGAGACAUGAAUGAUAAAAUGUAGCAUAGCCUUUACAAACUGAAAUUAGUGAUGUAUGGAGCAGAUAAAAUACUGGUCAGUGUUUUCCUUUAGAAAAUGCAAUGAAAACAAAAUUUCCAUUAACACCAACUUGUUGGCAGGAACUAACACAUAAAAUUUGCAUUUUUCAGUGUUAGGUUUCAAUGUCCAUGUUUUUCUCUGUCCAAUGAAAAGGUAAAAUUUUUAGCAGAAGGAAAACACUGUCUAUGAAUUUCCUGUAAUUGGAACAACAAUUUUCCACAGCAAAACAGACUUGAUUUUACUUUUUUUUUAAAUAAGGCCUAGCUGUGUGGUUUUCUGGCUUCAGACAGUAAUUCCAGAGCUGGCUUAUACUAAUAUCUGGCUAGAUGAACAAACCUCAGUUAGAUUUAGGUCAUACAUUGAAUGCUUAUAUCCCAAAUUAUUGCCUUGUGGCUUGCGAGACUUCAUAAUGGUUCACUAGCACAAUCUGAUUCCUUUGUCAGACUGUUAAACAGCUCAUUAGAUCAUUCCAUGAUCUACGUCGUGGGCUGGCCCCCUUUUCUAGUCAAAGAAAUGGUCACCCACUUGUGAAAAGCACUUCUUGUAUUAGUUAUGGAUGUAGUGAGUUUGUGUAGCUAUAGCAGGCUGAACAUAACCCCCACUCCAAUGCUUGCACAGUGACAUGGCACAUGAUGAUGUGAUUAUAAACUUAGAGAUCCUGCAUUUCUGUCCUGGGCACAAUCUUACCAUACAUAGAGUAAAAAUACAUUCUGCAAGGUGAUCUGUGCAAACCCAGAAGCUGCUGGUACAGAUUUGGGCAGCCAGUGGCUGCUACAGCUCUAAAGAAACUGUGUAAAUGCCCUUAAGUGGAAUAUGUUGAAGUCAAGAAAGGGUUUAAAAUACCCGUACUCUGUGGCAUGUAUCUGUGUCAUUGUUUCUCUCUUCUCUAGACUUUAUCACAUGUGGAGGCUUUCCCAAAAUUGAAAUACCUAUGGUUAUUUAGUUUUUCUUUUUUCCUGGCUGCAAAAUAACAGGCCUUGUGCAAAAGCAGUUGCUCUGCCUUUACCAGAGUUAUAUUUCUAAGAACAGAGUCCCCAAAGAAAAGGGAAAGCAACGUAUCCUUUUAAUUUUAAACUGAAAAUUGAGAUUCUACUUCAUAUUUCUAUGUCUCCUUUGCCAAGAAAAAAUGUUAGAAAGGCCAGUGGCUUUGCAGACCCAUGAAAUCCACCCGGAGCUGAUCUGAAAAUAAACAGCAUCAAAACUAUAUGGUUUUGCUGAAAUAAAACCCUGAAGCAAUAAAACAAAUGACUAACACUUUCUAUUGGUCUACGUAGUUUAGUACAUGAAACAUACAUGUAAGCAACUCAAGAUGAAUGAGUCAUCUUGACUUAAUAAAGAUUACAAAUACUUGCUAAAUAUUUGAAAAGUCACAUGCCAGGACCCUUCAUCGCUUGUUUUGUUAGACUCCUGCUUUGCCAAGUCAAAACAGUCAGAAAUCAUAAAAAUAAUCCACACAAUCUGUCUGAAAAUGCAGUUUUUCUACAUUAUUUUCCUUGGUUUACAGCAGCAAGUCUUCCUUUCUGCCAUCAAAAUUUUGCAAUAGAGAGAGCAUGACUUCCUCUUCUCAUAAGGUCUGGAUAUCCAGAUGUCUGGCAGCCCAUCUGGGUUUUUGUGCCAGUUAAGCUGCCGGCCACCCUGGAAUAUCAGCUCUGUCCAUUGCCUGUGAAUAGAUUCAAGCAGUCACAAAUAUGCAGUAAAUUCAGCUGACAAGACAGGAUUUCUCCCUGGAUCUUGGUGCGUUACAUACACCUGUCAAGCAGAAGCUUCAAGGCAGCCUCAGGGGAGCAUCUCUAAAAGACACUCCUGCAAUAACAAUGAACUCACCGUCCAUUUGCUGCCUGUUUCUUUGAAACGAUGAGCAAGUUAAGAACAGAUUGACCAAACCACCGUGAUUUGCAGAGCAGUCUCAGGGGAAGAGUAUGGUAAUGCCUGGGUUUGGACCUGCACCUCUUCCUGCGCACCCACAGAUAGCCUGACGAAUUAAGCACCUUGGAUGUUGAAAGCAAUUUGAACAUCACGUAAACCUGGAGCUGAAUUUUGCUGUUUUCUACAAGGAAUGAGGGUGUCAGGAAGCCAGAGCAAGUCGAGGGCAUGCAUGGUGGGUGAAGGCAGGGUGUUCAGAGGCCACAGAUGCAGAAAGAAGCUCGUAGGCACUGGUUUAACUCACAGGGCAGAAAUGAUACUGAAAGAGAAUCUAGAGACAUUGGGUUUAGACAGAGUGUGCCCUGUCAGUGCUCUGGGCUGUUCUACGCUUGUUUCCCAGAGGUGAAGAAAUGACAAGUUCUAUAAUUCAAAAGUUUUUUGGCGAUGAAAAUGAUUUGACAGCUUGGUCUGGAGAUUUCUGUACCAUUAGGAAUCGUCUGAAACUGUCCGUGGCGAUAGAAUAAUUGUAAGUUAACCACGUCUAGGGAUGAAUGAUACUCGAAGUGGAGGCUGGGAGCUUGCCACUGCUGUUGGUCUGGACUCCGCUGUACUCUGGACAGAUGCCUACACAAAUUGGGAACAUGCUGCAAGGAACGCCAGUGCUUCGGGAACGGCACCGCUCUCAAAACUGCAGUUGCAAGUCAUGUGGAAUCAGCUUGAGGGAGCCUGUUGAUUACUUUCUAAGGAUAUCUACAUACAAAAAAACACGCCUGGUGUUAUAAAUCAGCAUAGUUCUGCUGACUGCAGCAUAGCUGCAUCCAUCUACUCCAGCUGAGAAUCUGGACUAAAGUUUUUAGGCAACACGGAGGACUGAAAACUACCAGAACACCUUUAAAGCUAGCGUGCCAGCAAGCAGGAGAGGCAUUCUGCUAUGUGGAGUAAAGUUCUUUCGUCUGUGGUAGUUAAAGCAGAAAAGUGAACUUUAGAUUCUCACCGUUUUAUUGCAUCUGUUAAAGCAGUAUUGGCUUUCAACAAUGAAAUGAGCAUUCAGGCCAAGUGUCUCUGCAGAAUUUCGGGCACUCCAUGAACGGAUAAAAUUUCAAUUGCAGAAACAAGAGAAAGUACCAGACACAAAUGCACCACGUAUUACAUUUAAGGAAAGACAGUGGAGUGGGCAGGUUAUACCGUGGGAAUAGGCAGCAGCUGGCGGCUGACCCUGGUGUUAUGACAAAGUCACUGACAAGGCCACAAAAAAUUAAGAUUAUUAGUAAGUAAAGUCAGCCUGCCUUUGAGAAAUCCAGCAUGGCCGGUCUGUGGACUAAGAUCUGGGCUCCAAGCCGGGUCCCUUGUUCCCAGGCAGACAGAGUUGGCAACAGCCUGUAUCACUCUCUGGUGGCCUCUUGGGCCAGAAAGAGAAGGUAUAUUGGCAGCAAUGCAAGGGAAUGGCAGCCAGGUCUGCUAGCCAGAAAUCAAGUUGUGGGGAGAAAAAGGCGAAAGCAGGCCCCUUCAACACAGCACAGGCAUCAGGCUUGCAAGGAGAUGCAUGGAAAAGACUUGCAGUGGAGAAGCCUAGGCCAGGUGGGACUCACCAGUCGGAGGGCUGCCCGUCCUUCAGCGAGCGGUCCCAGGGGCCAGGCGCUGCGGGGCCGUCACUGCUGGCUGGCGUGUAGCAGAGCCCCAGGGCCCACACUGCCUUGCCCACAGCCACACGUGGCUGUGACUCACUCUCUCACCUUGCCAGAGCCCCGGGGUGAAGCGUGGAGAUUUCCUGAAGACAUCUGUGCUUCAGAGGCUCCGGGGUCUGGAACAGGCUGCGGCUCUGGUUUCCCCAUGCACAGGGCUCUCAGCAUGUGUCUUAGCUCUUUCCACUGCUGUUCUGGACAGGCCUCCUGCUCAUCCUUUCACUUCAUUAAAAGGGCCUCGGCCCCUCCUCCAGCAUCUUAAGAGACAGUGCUGGGAAAGGCAGUGGUGCGGGAGUGACAGGCAGAACUGGAGGAACUACUGCACCCUUUUUCUUAAAGCCCCUGCAAUUGCCUUCUUUCUAGGUGGGAAUCCCUCUCAGUGAUUAUCUGGCUCUUCUGAUUUUCAUCAGCUGGAGAGCUGCAUCUCUGAGAUUAUCCUCUCAGCAUCCUUGCCUACUCCUUAAUGUCACAGGCUUUGGCCACUUAGUCCAGUUAUAGCAUCUCAAUUCCAGCCUCAUCCUCCUGCAAGAGUAACUCACAAAUAAAGUGGAGUGGGAGUUUCCAUGUUCAAGUGCUUUCCUUGAGCCCUCGGGGAAAGGUCCUGAACACAAUUUCUUCCGCUUGGAUGGAAAGAGGAAUUCCUGUUAGAGCCUCCAUGAAAUUACAGUCUCCUUUUUUUAUGAAAUGUAAAACAAAGCAAAUAUUACCUUAGAGUCUCUUUUUCUUGUUGCAAUAAAAUGAGACACUUCCUUGGAAACAAGUUUUAAGACACAGGUCUUGUAAUGUUCACGUUUAUUGGAAUGGAGCUCACAGCUGACCCGAGGUCUGGAGGGCUUGGAAGCAAUAGUCGAUGUGAACUUCCAAUUCUUUCCUUCCUCAGCACGAGGUGCAAAACUAGUCUGUUUCUCAGAGAGACUUCCCCACCCUUCGCAAGCUUGUGCGCUCAUAUAUCUCUCAUGGUACAUAAAGAAUGACAUAUUGCAGCGAAUCUGCUGAGAAUAGCUUGUAAAAUACAUCAUGAUAUGAAUCAGCCUCAUUAGAAGUCUCUCUUUCUCAUGAUUUAAUACAGACACGGUGCUUCCAGGAGUGGAAACCCGUGUGUUGGGUUUUUUUCUCUCUCACUGGUGUGUUGUGCUCAGCCAAAUGCUGAAACAGAAAUAAAGAAUUCUCUGAACUCAGGGCCAGAAGUAGAAAGCAAAUACUGCAUUACCAAUAUGCCUCUCUGGCAUAAUUAAGGCCUUGGGUGUUUCCCUGGAUAUGUGACUUUCCAGUUUUGUUAACAAAAUAUUAUUUUGCUCUUCUAAACAGCACAAAGCUGCAUUCUUUGCAUACUCCAAAUCCCCCUGACUCAGGACCCUCUCACACCUCGCAUUCAGCAUCCUGAGCCAUUCCAGGCUUUUCUCCCACAGCUGCUGCUGUGUUUAUGAAGGGGAUUAUACGACACGGUGCCUGUGAUAGCAGGAGACAAGGCUCAGUGGCCCAAGAGGCCUCUCUCAGUCCUAUUUUAUGUAAGGACUGGUGUACCAGGUGCCACAAACGCAUGACUCAGACCCUGCUCAAACUGCUCGUGUGCUGGUGCAAGCACUUGGAAAUGAAAUCAAUGAUGUUAGUGUUUUACUUUAGACAAGACUACAGCAGAUGCAAUCCAAACGACACACCACAAAUAGCAACAGCUCUGGGCGAGUGGCCAUGUCGUGCAGGACUCAUGGUAGGAAAGGGAUAUCUCUGCUCCAAGGCAAUGAAAUAACUUCUUCCCUCUCCGCUUUUUACUGUUUCUCUCUUGUCACUUCAAUAUCAGAGCAUGUAACAAUUCUUGCUGUUAUUUCUAGUAAACCACAGCACAUUUUGGCUUAUAAACCUCUGGCUGCACUCUUUUCAGUCACGUGGAUCUUUAAUCAAAUGUGCUGAGUGCAACUACUCAGCUGUCCUCCAUCAUUUUGGUCUCCUAAUUCCCCCAGCCCUGUUACCCAUGAUCGCUCCCUGGUUUGUCACCAAUGAGCCUUGCUGGCUGAGCACUGUGGUAUAUUUCCAUCUCUCACCCAAUACCUUGGGCCAUGGAAAUUAUCAAAGGUCUUGUCACAAUCAAGGCCAGGGCAUCACAACUUUGCAGGCAAACUGUAUUCAGCUUGUGCUUUCUUCUGUGUAAGAUGAAGUAUGUGCAGAACUCCACAUACUCCUGUUCUACUGCAGCUCAGUCAGGUGAUAGCACUUCAGGGCAAAGAACAAACAAAAUUCCACUCUAUUUCUAGCCUUGAUCAGUGGUUCCCAAAUAUUUUCCUUAUUUACCACGACUUGGGGGAAUUUGUUUUAACAGCAAUUCUCAUAACCUUUGUGUUACUGCUAGCUUUGCCACUGACAGAAGUGGGUUUACUUUUAUCACUUACUGUCUAUCAAAUGCUAUUUUACGAGACCUGGUCUGUUUCAGCUGUGGCUUGUGCCUCAGGACUGGGCAUCCCUUGCAAUGCCAGACUUGCCUGCUGCUCCUUGAAUUUGAUGGGAAGGAUCUGGUUCCCAAAGCUGGGAUUUCACAGCUGUGGUCUGACUGACUUCCUAUCAGCGCAUACAGAAGAAGUGAGCACACAGCAGCAGCUAAGCACCCAUUUCAGACCUCAGACUUCUCAACUGGAACAACUGUUGCAGUUUGAAGUUGUUUUGCUAACUUCUUUGGCUAAUUGAUAACAUCUGCAUCUCACCACCCUUCCUUGUGUCUCGAGCUACUUCCAAAUAGAUCAGAUAGAUAACACUGCAGCAGAUCUCAGUUUCAAUAUUAGUGAUAUAUAUUGUUACACUUUCAGCAAAUAGUAUUAAAACCUGGAGGGGGAGGGAGGUGUCUUCUAAUAAUACUUCCUUUAUAAAGGUUUCUUUCACACAGUCACAGAAACAAGUCCAGAGACACCAAUAAAACCUCAUGGUAUUCAUUUGGUGUUUCUCUCAUGGUCAUGGUCAGAUAAAAAAGAACUUUUGUAAUAUUUCACAUUAUUUUUCUCUGCUUUCUCCCUACCAAACCAGCUAAAUUUGAAAGUUACAUAAGGGCUUUAAGAUAUUGGAAUUUGCUUUUAUUUUCCAUUAUUUUUCAUUGUCCUUAUAUUACAAUAGAUGAAUGAGGAGCUGAUGUAUGUGAUAUUUUAGUAAAUAAAAUCCUUGUAUUCGAGAUCACUCUUGAAGUCUGGUAAUACACAGUGACACCAUAUAGGUCCCAAGGAGACAUUAUGGUUGUAAUGGAAAUAUCAUAUAUCUCAUAUCCCAGGUCUGAUAUAUCAGCUCAGCCAUAAAAAGAAACAGGAUAUUUGCAACUAUAUUUUAACAGGGAUUUUGCUGUUACCAUGAGAACAUGGAUUACUUAGAAACUUUGGUGAGAAAACUCCUUAAUGGCUUCAUCAGUGUCUAACCCAAGGAGAUUUCAGUUCUUUCACUGCUAUCAAAACAGCCAUUAAUGCAGUGAAAAUCAGAAACGUAUGAGUGUUUCUUGAGUGCCUCGCUGUACAUCCCAGACUGAAGUCUCAGUGCAGGUCAGACAGUCCCCUCUAUCAUGUGUCAGAAUUCCCAAGAUCGAAUCUGGGCUAUGCCUAGUGACACGCGUCCACUAAGGGUUCUCUAUUGCUUGACAGGUUGUGUUGGGGAGAUGUUCCCUCCUCCACCUCCCUGUUGCUGUUGGGAUGGUGAGAGCUGUUACUGAGCAGGGUCCAGAGAUGUCUUCAGGCCCUGUGAUGCGCAGAGAAUGGAUGUAAGCCAAGACUUGAGACUCGAAGUUGCUCAGCUAGCCAGGAGAGCCUCAUGAAUUUUCUUGUAAAAGGAAUUUCUCUGGAUUCAGGGAGACUAGUUACAUAAUCCUUUGAAAACAAUAUUUGAAACAGGAUAGGGCUAUCCCCUUUAUGAAGUCCCCAGAAGAACCUGC
This is a long non-coding RNA of Numida meleagris (helmeted guineafowl), 11824 nucleotides long. RefSeq lists it as uncharacterized. The transcript has 5 exons. The record is from RefSeq and is a predicted model, not a curated record. Lineage: Eukaryota; Metazoa; Chordata; Aves; Galliformes; Numididae.